RNAcentral lists this long non-coding RNA (306 nucleotides) under Marmota monax (woodchuck). The record is from RNAcentral. Lineage: Eukaryota; Metazoa; Chordata; Mammalia; Rodentia; Sciuridae.
UGACUGAUCUUAAAAUUUUUAAAAUUAAAAUUUUGUGAUUAUUGACCUCUGUUGCAUUUAUUCUAAAAUCCCCCCAAAAUUAUCUAGUCAUUUCCAAGUAUCAACAUUACCCUGGUGUAUUCACUGCUGUAUGCAUUAUUGUUCUUUGUUAUUGUUUUAUGCCUUCAGAUUAGCAAAAUAUGAAAUUCUGUGAAGAAACAAAAACUUUGAUCUCAAAAAACCAAAUCACCCCCCUUCCGUAGCAGGAAACAAAUUGCUUGUUCUUGAAAACUUUUCCAUCAAGAAUUUAGUAGAAGCAGGUAUACU